GAUCCUAUGAAGAUUAUUGAUGGCCAUCAGGUUCUCUGCAAAAUGGCGGUUGAUAACAAAAAAGCUAAGACGGAAGGUGGUGUGGUUGGUGAUAAUGCACAACCACAGCCACCACCACAACCACAGUCUUCAAUGCCUGGUUCCCAGUAUGGUGUUCCAGGUAGUUUGCCACCCUAUGGAGGGUUUUCUGGAUUGGGUACUAGUGGAUAUGGUUUGAAUUCUUCAUUGCCAGGUUCAAUUGGUAGUGGAGGCUAUGGUGGUCCCUAUGGUGUUUCACAGUUUGGGGGACCAAGUUCUGGUGAGUUUGGCGGAUUGAACAGCGCUGGGAAUUCUAUGUAUAGGAUGCCUCCAAGUUCGGUUGGAAUGGCUUCUGGGGGAUAUCCAGAUGGUGCCCCUUAUGGGCUGUCUCAGCAACACCAGCCAUCACCAUUGCC
RNAcentral lists this unclassified non-coding RNA (434 nucleotides) under Hevea brasiliensis (rubber tree). Lineage: Eukaryota; Viridiplantae; Streptophyta; Magnoliopsida; Malpighiales; Euphorbiaceae. The record is from RNAcentral.